RNAcentral lists this ribosomal RNA (441 nucleotides) under uncultured bacterium. RNAcentral's name for it is "bacterial SSU rRNA". It matches the Rfam family "Bacterial small subunit ribosomal RNA", at positions 8 to 448 of the family's 1533-position model. The record is from RNAcentral.
AGAGUUUGAUCAUGGCUCAGGGUAAACGCUGGCGGCGCGCCUAAUGCAUGCAAGUCGAGCGGUCCUGUUGGCUUCGGCCUUCAGGAUAGCGGCAAACGGCUGAGUAACGCGUGAGUAACCUAUCCCUUGGUGGGGUAAAACCUCGAGAAAUCGAGGCUAAUACCGCAUAAGUUCCUCGUGCCUUGGUGCGGGGAGGAAAGCCUUCGGGCGCCAGAGGAGGGGCUCGCGCCCUAUCAGGUAGUUGGUAGGGUAAUGGCCUACCAAGCCUACGACGGGUAGCUGGUCUGAGAGGACGGCCAGCCAGAGGGGGACUGAGACACGGCCCCCACUCCUACGGGAGGCAGCAGCAGGGAAUCUUGGGCAAUGGGCGAAAGCCUGACCCAGCGACGCCGCGUGGAGGAAGAAGGCUUUCGGGUCGUAAACUCCUUUUCCAAGGGAAGA